Molecule: ribosomal RNA, 433 nt
Filed under: uncultured bacterium
Lineage: Bacteria
Description: partial 16S ribosomal RNA
Rfam family: Bacterial small subunit ribosomal RNA
Source: RNAcentral
AACGAACGCUGGCGGCAUGCCUAAUACAUGCCAGUCGAACGAGACCUUCGGGUCCAGUGGCGCAUGGGUGUGUAACGGGUGGGAACCUGCCCUUAGGUUCGGAAUAACUCCCCGAAAGGGGUGAUAAUACCGGAUAAGGUCUUCGGACCAAAGAUUUUUUGCCUUUGGAGGGGCCCGCGUUGGAUUAGGUAGUUGGUAGGGUAAAAGCCUACCAAGGCGACGAUCCAUAGCUGGUUUGAGAGGAUGGUCAGCAACACUGGGACUGAGACGCGGCCCAGACUCCUACGGGAGGCAGCAGUGGGGAAUAUUGGACAAUGGGCGAAAGCCUGAUCCAGCAAUGCCGCGUGAGUGAUGAUGGCCUUAGGGUUGUAAAGCUCUUUUACCCGGGAUGAUAAUGACAGUACCGGGAGAAUAAGCUCCGGCUAACUCCGUG